UUUAAAUCCAUCCAUUUCCGUCAGUAUCUGAAGAAGCCCCUGUUCCCUCUCUGCACCACCCUAAGAAAGCAAACACAUGUCGUUUACUACAUAAAAUUAUUUCAAUGCAGUGCAGAUGUAUGUUAAUUAACAAAAUUAAUGAGCGAAAUGUCGUUUACUACAUAAAAUUAUUUCAACGCAGGGCAGAUGAAUGUUAAGUAACGAAAUUAAUGAGCGAACCAACUGAACGUAAUAAGGAGAAGCAAGACGUUUAGUAUUAGAAGUAAUACAGAACAUAUGUAUUGUAGAUUUAGCUCCCCAGAACAAGAAUGAAGUUGAAGUGAUAUUAGACAGGACUACUGUUCCUAGGGUAGACAACCCAGAUAUUUAAAUUCAGGGUUCUAGACGAAUGGUAUGACAGAUCAAGAGAUAACAGAUAAACUAGAAUAGCUUAAAUAGAAGGGUGCAGCAGGACAGCUCUGCAGUAGGAAGAUAUUUACCCCCCUGAAAGGCAAAUUCUAUAGGAGAAUUGUGAGACGAAAAUAUUAUACGGGGUGAUGUUGAGCCUAUAAGGCCUAAGAUAUUCACAAGAUGAUUGUCAUAGAAAUGUAGAUGUUAGAAUAGAUAUACGAUUAUAUAAGAUUAGACAUGAUCAUAAAAUGAUUACGGUCACUAAAAGGUGCAAGUAGCACAUAUAGAGGCUAAAACAAGAGAAGGUAGUCCCGGAUGGUUCGGCUAUGUUAUCUGUGGACUUCCAACUGCACCGGUCCAUAACUAUGACACUACGAUAAUCAAAAGUGUUAAGAUCGAGAAGAGGCAGAACUAAAAACACAUGAAUCAUAGAGAAAGUAGGACAAGUUGCCUAAAAGCUUCAGCUUCUUUCCAAGCUAAAGAUCCACCCUGUCUUCCAUAGAAGUUGUUUGCCAACAGUCCCUCGAUAUCUGUGAAAACUUAGAAAAACAUAACAUAAUAUAAGCAAAAGAUCCUUAUAGGCGACACCAACUAGUUUGAACUAAGGCGUCAUGUUGAUACACUUACAUACCUUUGGUGUUCGCCAGGAGUCUUUUUAUAUUGCUCAGAGUAUUGUAUGUCGGUAAUGCAGAGAACCUCUAGUGUUAGACAACUCCUAAUUUAUUUGUAAAGACAAAUUAUCAAAAGGAAACGGUCCCCUGGAGCUGAACUAUUUCCUAUCCCAUCUAGUUCAGGAUUGAGGCACAGUUAUUGUGUUUCUGGUAGUGACAAGCCUUCAAUAUAUUAUUUAAUAUUGCACUUGUGGAUACCAAAAGGCUAAGCAAUAGUCAAAGUAAAGAUGACCACCAAAUUGACAAAGGAGCACCUGAAAACAAACUAUCCAUUAGAUGCGCUUUAGUUAAUCUAAGUCCCUCUAUUUAACCCCCUUCCGAAAAGAAAACCCACCCUUUAUUGCUUUUUUUUUAGCAAGCACCCUUUUUCUUGCUUUUUUGUACAUUUGUUGUAAGUUUAGAAGUGAAAGACGCAAUAGCGUGUAGGCACAGCUCUUAGAGAACAAGGAUAUGGAUUAGAUGCGCUUUAAUUAAUCUAAGUCCCUCUAUUUAACCCCCUUCCGAAAAGAAAACCCACCCUUUAUUGCUUUUUUUUUAGCAAGCACCCUUUUUCUUGCUUUUUUGUACAUUUGUUGUAAGUUUAGAAGUGAAAGACGCAAUAGCGUGUAGGCACAGCUCUUAGAGAACAAGGAUAUGGAAAUAUCUGCAGAUGGGUUAAGAAGACAUGCAUCCAGGUUUCAUAUGAACUUAAACGUCAUUGAAUAAUUACCAGCAAAGAGUGAUAUCUCAAAACCAAAAAUUACUAACGGGAGAAUAUAAGUUAUUUAAACCCUCAGGGUGGCAAUUGACUUGAGCC
This 1857-nucleotide long non-coding RNA is filed under the name Nicotiana benthamiana. Its description in RNAcentral is "long non-coding RNA (NBEN_LNC026482)". The record is from RNAcentral. Lineage: Eukaryota; Viridiplantae; Streptophyta; Magnoliopsida; Solanales; Solanaceae.